This 571-nucleotide long non-coding RNA is filed under the name Chloebia gouldiae (Gouldian finch). RNAcentral's name for it is "Erythrura gouldiae (Gouldian finch) lncRNA (ENSEGOG00005013198.1)". The record is from RNAcentral. Lineage: Eukaryota; Metazoa; Chordata; Aves; Passeriformes; Passeridae.
CAAACAGCUUUUGUUCAGGAGUCCAAGAACCGAGUUCAGCCUGGAAAAAAAACAGCACAACUUCUUUCCUCACUUUCUAGCAGGAAGAAACACUACCUGCCUGGGCUGCUUUUUUCCCUUCCCUCCUCCUCCUCGGAGCGCAAACAAUGUUCUUUUGAUGCUUUCCUGCGAGUGGGAAUCUCGCCCUGGAGAAGGAGACAAAACUUUGGUACCUGUGAAACGAAGACUGCUUAGGUAGCAGUGGAAAUGAAAGCAAUUCCAUUUGCCACACGGGCUCCACAAAUGAGUAACUUCAGUGGGAUUUGCUCAUGCAAAAGAGAAAAGAUCACCUGGAUUCUUCUGGAGCUGGGAGUCAGGGCCAGAACUCUCCAGGAAAGCUGCCCAAGGAACAAGAAGAGGAUCUCACCUCUCCAGAGCUCCAUCCCACCUGGAGCUCCAGCCCGGUGCUGGUGGCAGACUGAGGGAGGAGGAAUAAACCCCAGCGUUUCAAAGCCACUCCGUGGAACACAGGGUACGUGGAUUUGUUCUCCAUGGUUUUCUUUAAUUAUCCUGCAAUUUCUGUGUUGUGCUU